GCAGUGGUGGUUCAGUGGUAGAAUUCUUGCCUUCUGUGCGGGAGACCCGAGUUCAAUUCCCAGCCAGUGCC
Molecule: transfer RNA, 71 nt
Filed under: Loxodonta africana (African savanna elephant)
Lineage: Eukaryota; Metazoa; Chordata; Mammalia; Proboscidea; Elephantidae
Rfam family: tRNA
About the family: Transfer RNA (tRNA) molecules are approximately 80 nucleotides in length.
Source: Rfam by way of RNAcentral